AUUGAACGCUGGCGGCAGGCCUAACACAUGCAAGUCGAGCGGAUGAAGGGAGCUUGCUCCUGGAUUCAGCGGCGGACGGGUGAGUAAUGCCUAGGAAUCUGCCUGGUAGUGGGGGUUACGGCCGGGAACGGGCGGUAAUAACGGAAAACGCCUGGAGGGGGAAGGUGGGGGAUCUUGGGCCUUACGGCAUCCAAAUGAGCCUAGGUCGGAUUAGCUAGUUGGUGGGGUAAAGGCCUACCAAGGCGACGAUCCGUAACUGGUCUGAGAGGAUGAUCAGUCACACUGGAACUGAGACACGGUCCAGACUCCUACGGGAGGCAGCAGUGGGGAAUAUUGGACAAUGGGCGAAAGCCUGAUCCAGCCAUGUCGCGUGUGUGAAGAAGGUCUUCGGAUUGUAAAGCACUUUAAGUUGGGAGGAAGGGCAGUAAGUUAAUACCUUGCUGUUUUGACGUUACCAACAGAAUAAGCACCGGCUAACUUCGUG
This 484-nucleotide ribosomal RNA is filed under the name uncultured bacterium. RNAcentral describes it as "partial 16S ribosomal RNA". It matches the Rfam family "Bacterial small subunit ribosomal RNA", at positions 30 to 507 of the family's 1533-position model. The record is from RNAcentral.